GGGCCCGUAGCUCAGCUUGGUAGAGCAACAGAGCAAAUGUUGGGACUCUUAUCAAGUAGGAGAGAUCUGUGGGUCGCGCGUUCGAAUCGCGUCGGGCCCG
Molecule: transfer RNA, 100 nt
Filed under: Candidatus Woesearchaeota archaeon
Lineage: Archaea; Nanobdellati; Candidatus Woesearchaeota
Description: tRNA-OTHER
Rfam family: tRNA
About the family: Transfer RNA (tRNA) molecules are approximately 80 nucleotides in length. Their secondary structure includes four short double-helical elements and three loops (D, anti-codon, and T loops).
Source: RNAcentral